RNAcentral lists this unclassified non-coding RNA (199 nucleotides) under uncultured Kondoa. RNAcentral's name for it is "sequence contains ITS2". Lineage: Eukaryota; Fungi; Basidiomycota; Agaricostilbomycetes. The record is from RNAcentral.
ACUUCUCAACCCCGCCCUUGUUAAUCAAGGGUUGUUCUGGGCUUGAAUCGUGGUCUCUGCCAUUAAUACUGGCUAGACUGAAAGAUAGGAAGCUGCAUGCACGAAUUGUAACGGCUUGACCUGAUGUUGUAGUAUCAAAACUCAUCGGGGACGUUACUAAACGUUGGCAAAGAGCUUUAACACUUAUUGGAUUAGUACA